GUAGUCAUAUGCUUGUCUCAAAGAUUAAGCCAUGCAUGUCUAAGUAUAAGCAAUUAUACCGCGAAACUGCGAAUGGCUCAUUAUAUAAGUUAUCGUUUAUUUGAUAGUACCUUACUACUUGGAUAACCGUGGUAAUUCUAGAGCUAAUACAUGCUAAAAAUCCCGACUUCGGAAGGGAUGUAUUUAUUAGAUUAAAAGCCAAUGCCCUCUGGGCUCUCUGGUGAUUCAUGAUAACUUCUCGAAUCGCAUGGCCUUGCGCCGGCGAUGGUUCAUUCAAAUUUCUUCCCUAUCAACUUUCGAUGUUUGGGUAUUGGCCAAACAUGGUUGCAACGGGUAACGGAGGGUUAGGGCUCGACCCCGGAGAAGGAGCCUGAGAAACGGCCACUACAUCCAAGGAAGGCAGCAGGCGCGCAAAUUACCCAAUCCCGACACGGGGAGGUAGUGACAAUAAAUACUGAUACAGGGCUCUUUUGGGUCUUGUAAUUGGAAUGAGUACAAUUUAAAUCCCUUAACGAGGAACAAUUGGGGGGCAAGUCUGGUGCCAGCAGCC
Molecule: ribosomal RNA, 550 nt
Filed under: uncultured eukaryote
Lineage: Eukaryota
Description: SSU rRNA
Rfam family: Eukaryotic small subunit ribosomal RNA
Source: RNAcentral